This 497-nucleotide ribosomal RNA is filed under the name uncultured bacterium. RNAcentral's name for it is "partial 16S ribosomal RNA". It matches the Rfam family "Bacterial small subunit ribosomal RNA", at positions 28 to 507 of the family's 1533-position model. The record is from RNAcentral.
GAUGAACGCUGGCGGCGUGCCUAAUACAUGCAAGUCGAGCGAACAGACGAGGAGCUUGCUCCUCUGACGUUAGCGGCGGACGGGUGAGUAACACGUGGAUAACCUACCUAUAAGACUGGGAUAACUUCGGGAAACCGGAGCUAAUACCGGAUAAUAUAUUGAACCGCAUGGUUCAAUAGUGAAAGACGGUUUUGCUGUCACUUAUAGAUGGAUCCGCGCCGCAUUAGCUAGUUGGUAAGGUAACGGCUUACCAAGGCAACGAUGCGUAGCCGACCUGAGAGGGUGAUCGGCCACACUGGAACUGAGACACGGUCCAGACUCCUACGGGAGGCAGCAGUAGGGAAUCUUCCGCAAUGGGCGAAAGCUUGACGGAGCAACGCCGCGUGAGUGAUGAAGGUCUUCGGAUCGAAAAACUCUGUUAUUAGGGAAGAACAAAUGUGUAAGUAACUACGCACGUCUUGACGGUACCUAAUCAGAAAGCCACGGCUAACUACGUG